Molecule: long non-coding RNA, 331 nt
Filed under: Mytilus galloprovincialis (Mediterranean mussel)
Lineage: Eukaryota; Metazoa; Mollusca; Bivalvia; Mytilida; Mytilidae
Source: RNAcentral
UCGAAACGAUAAUAUGGAAAGACUCAUUUCGGCUAAAGGGGUGUUAUAGGUAAAACUUCAUUGAUUUUAAUUUAAAUGAUGCAUAUGAUUUUAAAUUAUGCAACAACAAUAUUAAACCCUCAAUAGCAGGCAGACAUAGAAAGAAUCCAAUGAGUUUCAAAUUAAUUAAUAAGCGGGGAAUCCAGAACAACCACUCAAUCUGAUACCCCUUGAAAUCAAGAAAACUAUACGCAUGCGCAUUAAUACAUAAACAAACCCGCGACUUGCGAUUUGGAACAAGAACGUUUAUUUAAUUUGAUAUGAUGAAUGAGUCUCAAUUUCUUUAUGAGAG